Molecule: ribosomal RNA, 659 nt
Filed under: Escherichia coli
Lineage: Bacteria; Pseudomonadati; Pseudomonadota; Gammaproteobacteria; Enterobacterales; Enterobacteriaceae
Description: bacterial LSU rRNA
Rfam family: Bacterial large subunit ribosomal RNA
Source: RNAcentral
GUGUGACUGCGUACCUUUUGUAUAAUGGGUCAGCGACUUAUAUUCUGUAGCAAGGUUAACCGAAUAGGGGAGCCGAAGGGAAACCGAGUCUUAACUGGGCGUUAAGUUGCAGGGUAUAGACCCGAAACCCGGUGAUCUAGCCAUGGGCAGGUUGAAGGUUGGGUAACACUAACUGGAGGACCGAACCGACUAAUGUUGAAAAAUUAGCGGAUGACUUGUGGCUGGGGGUGAAAGGCCAAUCAAACCGGGAGAUAGCUGGUUCUCCCCGAAAGCUAUUUAGGUAGCGCCUCGUGAAUUCAUCUCCGGGGGUAGAGCACUGUUUCGGCAAGGGGGUCAUCCCGACUUACCAACCCGAUGCAAACUGCGAAUACCGGAGAAUGUUAUCACGGGAGACACACGGCGGGUGCUAACGUCCGUCGUGAAGAGGGAAACAACCCAGACCGCCAGCUAAGGUCCCAAAGUCAUGGUUAAGUGGGAAACGAUGUGGGAAGGCCCAGACAGCCAGGAUGUUGGCUUAGAAGCAGCCAUCAUUUAAAGAAAGCGUAAUAGCUCACUGGUCGAGUCGGCCUGCGCGGAAGAUGUAACGGGGCUAAACCAUGCACCGAAGCUGCGGCAGCGACGCUUAUGCGUUGUUGGGUAGGGGAGCGUUCUGUAAGCCU